GUGGGAUCUUGUCCUUGUAUUGUUGCUGUUGAGCCCUACAAGGCUGCAUGUGGCGGUGGUUCUCGUUUUUUUUUUUUCUUCUUGUUAUCAGUAAAGAAUGUGAUUAACCUACCUCACGCUACAUCUUGGUCUAAUUCCACCAACGCCGAUCGUUACAAUGAUAGAACAAUAGACAAAUAUUGUACAAUCCAGGUGUGGAAAGGUCUCACUUACCCAGAAAGACUCACAGCCGCAAUUGCUGCCAGAGUGAACCAUGGGAAGUUUCCUAAGCAGGAGGACUCGUAUGUGUUCGAGGAGGACAGCAGCAGUGGCAGUCUGUCUCCAGAGCAACACCACAGUGAUGAGUCACAGGGGUCCGCAUGCCUAAGUGCAGCACCAGCCCUCAAUAGCCCUAAACCGGUUGCUCUGGAAUUCAUGAGACUGGUAUCUGUGGACCUCAAGAAGAUAUUCUUUCCAAGCUCCUUGAAUUCUACCGGGCCAAGAGCGAUGGAGGGAUGGAGCUAAAACAGCUUAUGGAAAGUCUUGACAAAGACAUAGGUUCCAUUCUAUUCACAUUAAAGUAUUUUGUACAUUUAUUA
Molecule: long non-coding RNA, 578 nt
Organism: Oncorhynchus kisutch (coho salmon)
Lineage: Eukaryota; Metazoa; Chordata; Actinopteri; Salmoniformes; Salmonidae
Exons: 3
Source: RefSeq, a predicted model, not a curated record